GUUUGAAUGAAGCAACAAGGAAUUAGGUAGAUUGUGGAGCUUGAGCUACUGGUGAUCAUAUUCUUCAAAGAAACCAUGAGGAAGACAUUCACUUGUCGAAUGACAUGACAAAUUUUGAUUACCAUUGAUAUUGUGAUCCUUCACUGCAAGAUUGGAAUCAUCAAUAUCCCCCAUACAUUUAUCAGCCUAACAUUCCACACCAACCAUUUGAGCUACAAUUAGAGAAGAGAGUGGGACUUGAAGAGGCAAUAGCUCCAUUGGAAAAUUUUAACAACAUUAUGAUGAACAAUGAGCUAUCAUUCUAUGAGGAGCAAACAAAUGAACAAAGUU
RNAcentral lists this unclassified non-coding RNA (330 nucleotides) under Hevea brasiliensis (rubber tree). The record is from RNAcentral. Lineage: Eukaryota; Viridiplantae; Streptophyta; Magnoliopsida; Malpighiales; Euphorbiaceae.